GAUGAACGCUGGCGGCGUGCCUAAUACAUGCAAGUCGAGCGAACGGACGAGAAGCUUGCUUCUCUGAUGUUAGCGGCGGACGGGUGAGUAACACGUGGAUAACCUACCUAUAAGACUGGGAUAACUUCGGGAAACCGGAGCUAAUACCGGAUAAUAUUUUGAACCGCAUGGUUCAAAAGUGAAAGACGGUCUUGCUGUCACUUAUAGAUGGAUCCGCGCUGCAUUAGCUAGUUGGUAAGGUAACGGCUUACCAAGGCAACGAUGCAUAGCCGACCUGAGAGGGGGUCGGCCCCCCCGGGAACGGGGCACCGGUCCAAACUCCUACGGGAGGCAGGAGUGGGGAAUUUUCCGAAAGGGGCGAAAGCCUGAGGGAGCAACGCCGCGGGGGUGAGGAAGGUCUUCGGCUCGUAAAACCUUUUUUUUGGGGAAAAAAAAAUUGGUAAGUAACUGUGAACAUUUUGACGGUACCAAAUCAAAAAGCCACGGCUAACUACGU
This 496-nucleotide ribosomal RNA is filed under the name uncultured bacterium. Its description in RNAcentral is "partial 16S ribosomal RNA". It matches the Rfam family "Bacterial small subunit ribosomal RNA", at positions 28 to 506 of the family's 1533-position model. The record is from RNAcentral.